ACACUGUCUGGUCCAUUUCACCCUUAGCCGCUGUGUCUCAGGGGCAGGACUGGUUACUGUUGAUGAUCAAAGAGUGUUGAGGACAGGCCUUUUUGGAGGUUUAUGCCAUGGACAUUUGUGGUAUCAACCAAACACUGCUGAUCAGUGUGGAGGUGAGUGUUUAUUUUGAGAAAUACUGUAGGUUACCCUCAUUUUAGAUCCUAAUGUCAACAUCCUUCUUGCCUUAGGUGUCAACAGUGUGGUUUGUAUGUGUUUUCACUGUGUCAUCCGUGAACAGUGACAGUGAAAGAGCUCUUCCUGCCUUCCCUCUGGACUGGAGCAUCCGUAUCAGGGCUCUAUACUAUGAUAUACAAACACUGGUCACAGCUAACAGGUCAGUGAGGCAGAUGGGAUGUGUCAUCAAGUGAGAUCCUUCAAAUGAACUCUGAGACUGGAGUAGCAUUUGCAAAGAAUUCUUGGACAGUGGUGGUUUACUACAGGCUAGAAGGGGGACAGCAAACCUUCAGAGAGCUCAAUGCAAUCUAGACCAGUGGGAGGCCCUAGAGAAGAAACUACAUCCUGAGGCAGAGCUACUGUGCUCGCUACACUUUGGCGCCACCUAUCCAGAGAAGAGAAUACUGCAGGCUAUCUUUAAUGCAACACCCUUCUACAAUUCAUACACUGCUCAGUACAGCAGGAGGAUCUCUGUGCAGCCCCAGUCAGACUCCAUCCUCCAUCUCCUGGCCACUCGGUCUCUCUCCAUCCAUCUGUCUGCCAGUCUGCCCCAGCUGCCCUGCUGUCGCUUCCUCAGUCACCCCCUUCUUUUCAGUCUUCCCUUCAGCUCCCAUACAUGCCAGCAUUUCACCGUCCCAGCAGCAUGUGGCUGAAAUCAGAGUGUUUGGCACCACAGACAUGCUCAGCACACUGAAGGUGAGAAUGAGAGAUCAUGAAAGAGAUGCAUUUGAAAUAAAAUCACUUUUCAGUUUUAUAUUUCUUCACUCUUAUCUAAUUAGGUUCAGUCAUACACCCCAGACAUUGUGUUAUCUGAUGUGGUCUGGUCAGAUGAAGACCCCACCCUCCUCCUUAUGUCAGUCUAUCCAACCUCACAUUUCCUGGAUCACAUACCAUCUAUUGCAAGCAUUACCCUAUCCACAAACCUCUCUCCGCAAAAGCACUUUGUGUUGGUUACUAGAGUGAUGGACAACCUGGAGUCAGUGAACAAUACCAUGCUGUCUCUCACACAGACUGUACGUGCAGUUCUCACACCCUCUACUAAUGCAGGUGACACCCCAAUGUUAUUUGAUUCAGCUGCUUUACCUUAAAGGUGUACUUAGUACUUUUUAUGUUGAAGUCAGCAUGAAUUAAAAAUUUCAUUCUAUUUUUAAUAAAUUAUAUUAUUGUGAAUGAUUCA
Molecule: long non-coding RNA, 1390 nt
Organism: Cyprinus carpio (common carp)
Lineage: Eukaryota; Metazoa; Chordata; Actinopteri; Cypriniformes; Cyprinidae
Source: Ensembl